AGUCAUAUGCUUGUCUCAAGGAUUAAGCCAUACAUGUCUAAGUACAAGCUUUUACCCAGUGAAACCGCGAAUGGCUCAUUAAAUCAGUUAUGGUUCCUUAGAUCGUACUAUCCUACUUGGAUAACUGUGGCAAUUCUAGAGCUAAUACAUGCAAUAAAGCUCCGACCUUCGGGGACGAGCGCUUUUAUUAGAUCAAAAACCAAUCGCCCGAAAGGUGUACUUGGUGGUGACUCUGGAUAACUUUGGGCUGAUCGCAUGGCCUUGUGCCGGCGACGUAUCUUUCAAAUGUCUGCCCUAUCAACUGGCGAAGGUAGGUCCUAUGCCUACCUUGGUUGUAACGGGUAACGGGGAAUCAGGGUUCGAUUCCGGAGAGGGAGCAUGCGAAACGGCUACCACAUCCAAGGAAGGCAGCAGGCGCGCGAAUUACCACUCUGCACGGGGAGGUAGUGACGGAAAAAUAACAAUACGGGACUCUAUCGAGGCCCCGUAAUUGGAAUGAGUACACUUUAAAUCCUUUAGCGAGGAUCUAUUGGAGGGCAAGUCUGGUGCCAGCAGCCGAGGUAAUUCCAGCUCCAAUAGCGUAUAUUAAAGUUGUUGCAGUUAAAAAGCUCGUAGUUGGAUCUCGGGUCCAGGCCUGUGGUGCCUUUAACCAGGACACUGCUUGCCCUGACCUACUGGCCGGUUCUCCCUUGAUGCUCUUGUCUGAGUGUCUCGGGUAGCCGGAACGUUUACUUUGAAAAAAUUAGAGUGUUCAAAGCAGGCAUUUCGCCUGAAUACUGGUGCAUGGAAUAAUAGAAUAGGACCUCGGUUCUAUUUUGUUGGUUUUCGGAACUCGAGGUAAUGAUUAAGAGGGACGGCCGGGGGCAUCCGUAUUACGGUGUUAGAGGUGAAAUUCUUGGAUCGCCGUAAGACGAACGACUGCGAAAGCAUUUGCCAAGAAUGUUUUCAUUAAUCAAGAACGAAAGUCAGAGGUUCGAAGACGAUCAGAUACCGUUGUAGUUCUGACCAUAAACACUCCGACCUAGAGAUCCGGAGGCGUUGUUUUUAUGACUCCUCGGGCAUCUUCCGGGAAACCAAAGUUUUUGGGUUCCGGGGGAAGUAUGGUUGCAAAGCUGAAACUUAAAGGAAUUGACGGAAGGGCACCACCAGGAGUGGACCGUGCGGCUUAAUUUGACUCAACACGGGGCAACUCACCUGGCCCGGACACCGUAAGGAUUGACAGAUUGAGAGCUCUUUCUUGAUUCGGUGGGUGGUGGUGCAUGGCCGUUCUUAGUUGGUGGAGCGAUUUGUCUGGUUAAUUCCGAUAACGAACGAGACUCUAGCCUAUUAAAUAGUUCACCGAUUCCAGUUGUCGGUGUUAACUUCUUAGAGGGACAAGUGGCGUUUAGCCACACAGAUUGAGCAAUAACAGGUCUGUGAUGCCCCUAGAUGUUCGGGGCCGCACGCGCGCUACACUGAAGGAAUCAACGUGUGCUUGUCCUGGUCCGGAAGAUCGUGAACCCGUUGAACCUCCUUCUGGCUAGGGAUUGGGCUUGUAAUUAUUCCCCAUGAACGAGGAAUUCCCAGUAAGCCAGUCAUCAGCUCGCGUUGAUUACGUCCUGCCCUUUGUACACACCGGCUUGAUUACGUCCCUGCGCUUUGUACACACCGCCCGUCGCUACUACCGAUUGGAUGGUUUAGUGAGAUCUCGAUUGGUCCCGGCUUGAUGGGCAACCGUCCGGCCGGUGCGCCGAGAAGUAGAUCGAACUUGACCAUCUAGAGGAAGUAAAAGUCGUAACAA
Molecule: ribosomal RNA, 1780 nt
Filed under: unclassified maldanid
Lineage: Eukaryota; Metazoa; Annelida; Polychaeta; Maldanidae
Description: SSU rRNA
Rfam family: Eukaryotic small subunit ribosomal RNA
Source: RNAcentral